Non-coding RNA from Aedes albopictus (Asian tiger mosquito), 74 nucleotides. The record is from Rfam. Lineage: Eukaryota; Metazoa; Arthropoda; Insecta; Diptera; Culicidae.
UGUUCUGUGGCUUGGUUGGUUAAAGCACCGGUCUAACGAUUACGGGGUCGUGGGUUUGAAUCCCACCAGAACGC